Molecule: transfer RNA, 70 nt
Filed under: Dipodomys ordii (Ord's kangaroo rat)
Lineage: Eukaryota; Metazoa; Chordata; Mammalia; Rodentia; Heteromyidae
Rfam family: tRNA
About the family: Transfer RNA (tRNA) molecules are approximately 80 nucleotides in length. Their secondary structure includes four short double-helical elements and three loops (D, anti-codon, and T loops).
Source: Rfam by way of RNAcentral
GGAAAUGUGGCUUAGUGGUAGAGUGCUUGCCUAGCAUGCAUGAAACCGUGGGUUCAAUUCCUCAAUACCA